RNAcentral lists this ribosomal RNA (429 nucleotides) under Bacteroidota bacterium. Its description in RNAcentral is "Bacteroidetes bacterium partial 16S ribosomal RNA". It matches the Rfam family "Bacterial small subunit ribosomal RNA", at positions 355 to 776 of the family's 1533-position model. Lineage: Bacteria; Pseudomonadati; Bacteroidota. The record is from RNAcentral.
UAGGGAAUCUUCGGCAAUGGGGGGAACCCUGACCGAGCAACCCCGCGUGAGUGAAGAAGGUUUUCGGAUCGUAAAGCUCUGUUGUUAAGGAAGAACGAGUGUGAGAAUGGAAAGUUCAUGCUGUGACGGUACUUAACCAGAAAGGGACGGCUAACUACGUGCCAGCAGCCGCGGUAAUACGUAGGUCCCGAGCGUUGUCCGGAUUUAUUGGGCGUAAAGCGAGCGCAGGCGGUUAGAAAAGUCUGAAGUGAAAGGCAGUGGCUCAACCAUUGUAGGCUUUGGAAACUGUUUAACUUGAGUGCAGAAGGGGAGAGUGGAAUUCCAUGUGUAGCGGUGAAAUGCGUAGAUAUAUGGAGGAACACCGGUGGCGAAAGCGGCUCUCUGGUCUGUAACUGACGCUGAGGCUCGAAAGCGUGGGGAGCGAACAGG